RNAcentral lists this ribosomal RNA (1399 nucleotides) under Staphylococcus epidermidis. RNAcentral's name for it is "partial 23S ribosomal RNA". It matches the Rfam family "Bacterial large subunit ribosomal RNA", at positions 1 to 1402 of the family's 2925-position model. Lineage: Bacteria; Bacillati; Bacillota; Bacilli; Caryophanales; Staphylococcaceae. The record is from RNAcentral.
GAUUAAGUUAUUAAGGGCGCACGGUGGAUGCCUUGGCACUAGAAGCCGAUGAAGGACGUUACUAACGACGAUAUGCUUUGGGUAGCUGUAAGUAAGCGUUGAUCCAGAGAUUUCCGAAUGGGGGAACCCAGCAUGAGUUAUGUCAUGUUAUCGACAUGUGAAUUCAUAGCAUGUCAGAAGGCAGACCCGGAGAACUGAAACAUCUUAGUACCCGGAGGAAGAGAAAGAAAAAUCGAUUCCCUGAGUAGCGGCGAGCGAAACGGGAAGAGCCCAAACCAACAAGCUUGCUUGUUGGGGUUGUAGGACACUCUAUACGGAGUUACAAAAGAACAUGUUAGACGAAUCAUCUGGAAAGAUGAAUCAAAGAAGGUAAUAAUCCUGUAGUCGAAAACAUAUUCUCUCUUGAGUGGAUCCUGAGUACGACGGAGCACGUGAAAUUCCGUCGGAAUCUGGGAGGACCAUCUCCUAAGGCUAAAUACUCUCUAGUGACCGAUAGUGAACCAGUACCGUGAGGGAAAGGUGAAAAGUACCCCGGAAGGGGAGUGAAAGAGAACUUGAAACCGUGUGCUUACAAGUAGUCAGAGCCCGUUAAUGGGUGAUGGCGUGCCUUUUGUAGAAUGAACCGGCGAGUUACGAUCUGAUGCAAGGUUAAGCAGCAAAUGUGGAGCCGCAGCGAAAGCGAGUCUGAAUAGGGCGUUGAGUAUUUGGUCGUAGACCCGAAACCAGGUGAUCUACCCUUGGUCAGGUUGAAGUUCAGGUAACACUGAAUGGAGGACCGAACCGACUUACGUUGAAAAGUGAGCGGAUGAACUGAGGGUAGCGGAGAAAUUCCAAUCGAACUUGGAGAUAGCUGGUUCUCUCCGAAAUAGCUUUAGGGCUAGCCUCAAGUGAUGAUUAUUGGAGGUAGAGCACUGUUUGGACGAGGGGCCCCUCUCGGGUUACCGAAUUCAGACAAACUCCGAAUGCCAAUUAAUUUAACUUGGGAGUCAGAACAUGGGUGAUAAGGUCCGUGUUCGAAAGGGAAACAGCCCAGACCACCAGCUAAGGUCCCAAAAUAUAUGUUAAGUGGAAAAGGAUGUGGCGUUGCCCAGACAACUAGGAUGUUGGCUUAGAAGCAGCCAUCAUUUAAAGAGUGCGUAAUAGCUCACUAGUCGAGUGACACUGCGCCGAAAAUGUACCGGGGCUAAACAUAUUACCGAAGCUGUGGAUUGUCCUUUGGACAAUGGUAGGAGAGCGUUCUAAGGGCGUCGAAGCAUGAUCGCAAGGACAUGUGGAGCGCUUAGAAGUGAGAAUGCCGGUGUGAGUAGCGAAAGACGGGUGAGAAUCCCGUCCACCGAUUGACUAAGGUUUCCAGAGGAAGGCUCGUCCGCUCUGGGUUAGUCGGGUCCUAAGCUGAGGC